Molecule: ribosomal RNA, 2933 nt
Filed under: Salmonella enterica subsp. enterica serovar Typhimurium
Lineage: Bacteria; Pseudomonadati; Pseudomonadota; Gammaproteobacteria; Enterobacterales; Enterobacteriaceae
Description: 23S ribosomal RNA
Rfam family: Bacterial large subunit ribosomal RNA
Source: RNAcentral
GAGGUUAAGCGACUAAGCGUACACGGUGGAUGCCCUGGCAGUCAGAGGCGAUGAAGGGCGUGCUAAUCUGCGAUAAGCGCCGGUAAGGUGAUAUGAACCGUUAUAACCGGCGAUACCCGAAUGGGGAAACCCAGUGUGAUUCGUCACACUAUCAUUAACUGAAUCCAUAGGUUAAUGAGGCGAACCGGGGGAACUGAAACAUCUAAGUACCCCGAGGAAAAGAAAUCAACCGAGAUUCCCCCAGUAGCGGCGAGCGAACGGGGAGGAGCCCAGAGCCUGAAUCAGCAUGUGUGUUAGUGGAAGCGUCUGGAAAGGCGCGCGAUACAGGGUGACAGCCCCGUACACAAAAGCGCAUGUGCUGUGAGCUCGAUGAGUAGGGCGGGACACGUGGUAUCCUGUCUGAAUAUGGGGGGACCAUCCUCCAAGGCUAAAUACUCCUGACUGACCGAUAGUGAACCAGUACCGUGAGGGAAAGGCGAAAAGAACCCCGGCGAGGGGAGUGAAAAAGAACCUGAAACCGUGUACGUACAAGCAGUGGGAGCNNAUAGGGGAGCCGGAGGGAAACCGAGUCUUAAUUGGGCGUUAAGUUGCAGGGUAUAGACCCGAAACCCGGUGAUCUAGCCAUGGGCAGGUUGAAGGUUGGGUAACACUAACUGGAGGACCGAACCGACUAAUGUUGAAAAAUUAGCGGAUGACCUGUGGCUGGGGGUGAAAGGCCAAUCAAACCGGGAGAUAGCUGGUUCUCCCCGAAAGCUAUUUAGGUAGCGCCUCGUGAAUUCAUCUCCGGGGGUAGAGCACUGUUUCGGCUAGGGGGCCAUCCCGGCUUACCAACCCGAUGCAAACUGCGAAUACCGGAGAAUGUUAUCACGGGAGACACACGGCGGGUGCUAACGUCCGUCGUGAAGAGGGAAACAACCCAGACCGCCAGCUAAGGUCCCAAAGUCAUGGUUAAGUGGGAAACGAUGUGGGAAGGCCCAGACAGCCAGGAUGUUGGCUUAGAAGCAGCCAUCAUUUAAAGAAAGCGUAAUAGCUCACUGGUCGAGUCGGCCUGCGCGGAAGAUGUAACGGGGCUAAACCAUGCACCGAAGCUGCGGCAGCGAACGUAUCACCCAAGACAACUUUACGGAGUUGACGAUUGACGGAGCGAAGCGACGUCAAAGCGUUCAUUAAAGUCGAGUUGGCUUAGGGAUACGUUCGUUGGGUAGGGGAGCGUUCUGUAAGCCUGUGAAGGUGUGUCGUGAGGCAUGCUGGAGGUAUCAGAAGUGCGAAUGCUGACAUAAGUAACGAUAAAGCGGGUGAAAAGCCCGCUCGCCGGAAGACCAAGGGUUCCUGUCCAACGUUAAUCGGGGCAGGGUGAGUCGACCCCUAAGGCGAGGCCGAAAGGCGUAGUCGAUGGGAAACGGGUUAAUAUUCCCGUACUUGGUGUUACUGCGAAGGGGGGACGGAGAAGGCUAUGUUGGCCGGGCGACGGUUGUCCCGGUUUAAGCGUGUAGGUGUGUGUUCCAGGUAAAUCCGGUUCACUUUAACACUGAGGCGUGACGACGAGGCACUACGGUGCUGAAGCAACAAAUGCCCUGCUUCCAGGAAAAGCCUCUAAGCAUCAGGUAACACGAAAUCGUACCCCAAACCGACACAGGUGGUCAGGUAGAGAAUACCAAGGCGCUUGAGAGAACUCGGGUGAAGGAACUAGGCAAAAUGGUGCCGUAACUUCGGGAGAAGGCACGCUGACACGUAGGUGAAGUGAUUUACUCAUGGAGCUGAAGUCAGUCGAAGAUACCAGCUGGCUGCAACUGUUUAUUAAAAACACAGCACUGUGCAAACACGAAAGUGGACGUAUACGGUGUGACGCCUGCCCGGUGCCGGAAGGUUAAUUGAUGGGGUCAGCGUAAGCGAAGCUCCUGAUCGAAGCCCCGGUAAACGGCGGCCGUAACUAUAACGGUCCUAAGGUAGCGAAAUUCCUUGUCGGGUAAGUUCCGACCUGCACGAAUGGCGUAAUGAUGGCCAGGCUGUCUCCACCCGAGACUCAGUGAAAUUGAACUCGCUGUGAAGAUGCAGUGUACCCGCGGCAAGACGGAAAGACCCCGUGAACCUUUACUAUAGCUUGACACUGAACAUUGAGCCUUGAUGUGUAGGAUAGGUGGGAGGCUUUGAAGUGUGGACGCCAGUCUGCAUGGAGCCGACCUUGAAAUACCACCCUUUAAUGUUUGAUGUUCUAACGUGGACCCGUAAUCCGGGUUGCGGACAGUGUCUGGUGGGUAGUUUGACUGGGGCGGUCUCCUCCUAAAGAGUAACGGAGGAGCACGAAGGUUGGCUAAUCCUGGUCGGACAUCAGGAGGUUAGUGCAAUGGCAUAAGCCAGCUUGACUGCGAGCGUGACGGCGCGAGCAGGUGCGAAAGCAGGUCAUAGUGAUCCGGUGGUUCUGAAUGGAAGGGCCAUCGCUCAACGGAUAAAAGGUACUCCGGGGAUAACAGGCUGAUACCGCCCAAGAGUUCAUAUCGACGGCGGUGUUUGGCACCUCGAUGUCGGCUCAUCACAUCCUGGGGCUGAAGUAGGUCCCAAGGGUAUGGCUGUUCGCCAUUUAAAGUGGUACGCGAGCUGGGUUUAGAACGUCGUGAGACAGUUCGGUCCCUAUCUGCCGUGGGCGCUGGAGAACUGAGGGGGGCUGCUCCUAGUACGAGAGGACCGGAGUGGACGCAUCACUGGUGUUCGGGUUGUCAUGCCAAUGGCACUGCCCGGUAGCUAAAUGCGGAAGAGAUAAGUGCUGAAAGCAUCUAAGCACGAAACUUGCCCCGAGAUGAGUUCUCCCUGAGACUUAGAGUCUCCUGAAGGAACGUUGAAGACGACGACGUUGAUAGGCCGGGUGUGUAAGCGCAGCGAUGCGUUGAGCUAACCGGUACUAAUGAACCGUGAGGCUUAACCUUACAACGCCGAAG